GAGGCGGGAGGGAGGACAGGACCAGGAGGGGGAAAUGGAGAGACUGACGGUCGCGGAGAAAGGAGUAGGGCGAGGAGGUGGGAAGGGGUGGGGUUCCUGCGGGGAGGGACCUCUCCGAAUCCCGACCUACUGCCUGCGAAAGUGGAGUCUGUCUUUUGGGGGCGGACUGGAGGGAUGGCCAGAAUCCUACUGACCCUCCCCCGCCACCCCCCAAGAAACCCUGAGAUUUUGCCGAGGGAUGGGGUGGGAGAAGCAGAUGGAAAGGCCGGGCAGGAGUGUGUCUGAAGAAAGCCUCUUCCCAACACUGGGGCACAUCCAUCAGGAGCACUGCCCGUCACAUUGUAUCCAUCAUCACAUUCCACAAGCUUUUAAGUAGAGUCUCCCUUAGACAGUCCACAUGGACUUCCCUGGCUUGGGUCCCACCUUCCUCAGAAACCUGCAAGACCCGUGACUCGCAACCCUCUACGUUUAGCACUGCGACUCCUUCCCUUCUGGUCAUCAAUCCCUCGACCGUCUGGAGCUCCUCAAACCCCACAGGAGCCACCUGAGAUCCUGCUGCUUUCUAGUUCGGUUACAGACCCUUGACCUGCCUACCUGACUCGAGGCAAGAAAGAUCAGUGCGCGACUGGGAGCUCCUGAGGACACAGCAGUUAGAGAAAAGAAAGGGGAGAUACUGGCACUAAACUAAUUGAUUUCAGAACAACAACCUUUGCCCAAACCGACCCUUCACACAGGGUAACUGAGGGGUCCAGGAACCUCGCCAACGCCGGUUCCCGAAGACUGUAGUUCCAGCCUGGCCGAAGAGCGCCACCUGGCGGUCCGCCCUCCCAACCUGGAUUCUCUUCGGCCCCGCGGGAGUUCUCGAAGCCUGAGCUAAACAGGGGCAGAACUGUCACCUCCCCCUGUACGUCAUUCCGAGGGCCCCGCCCCUGCUUGGAACGCGCCGCCUCCCGACGGGACUGGCCCUAGCGCCUCCCGCGCAGAACGGCCGCCCUUCCUCCCUCACGGGCUGAAUGCCGCUCGGGUAGAAAAUCUGCUUAACGUUCCCCCCAGGAUCCGCCCCACCUCGUAGCCCACAGGGAGCCCGCCCCUCCCCCCAUGGGAAUCUGCCCCUCGUCCUCUUCCUUCCCCUGAGGGAACGUGCCGCACCGCCCUCCCCCGCCCUGUCCCUGCCGAGGAAGGGGCGCCCCAGCUCUUCCCACCCUCGCAGGGAGCCUCUUCCUAACAACAGAGCCCAAAUCCAGGUUGGUGAUGAGGCCUCCCCUCCCCUGGUCGCCGGAGGACCCCGCGGACCCACGCUCCGCAGCCCCGGGAGCGGGCCCCAACCCUCUCCCCUCACCCGCCAGCGGGG
This 1351-nucleotide long non-coding RNA is filed under the name Ursus maritimus (polar bear). Its description in RNAcentral is "lncRNA (ENSUMAG00000005047.1)". The record is from RNAcentral. Lineage: Eukaryota; Metazoa; Chordata; Mammalia; Carnivora; Ursidae.